RNAcentral lists this transfer RNA (73 nucleotides) under Oleispira antarctica RB-8. It matches the Rfam family "tRNA". From Rfam's summary of the family: Transfer RNA (tRNA) molecules are approximately 80 nucleotides in length. Their secondary structure includes four short double-helical elements and three loops (D, anti-codon, and T loops). The record is from Rfam by way of RNAcentral. Lineage: Bacteria; Pseudomonadati; Pseudomonadota; Gammaproteobacteria; Oceanospirillales; Oceanospirillaceae.
GGGCCGUUAGCUCAGUUGGUAGAGCAGUUGGCUUUUAACCAAUUGGCCGUGCGUUCAAGUCGCACACGGCCCA